UCUUAGAUCUACAAUGCCACC
Molecule: microRNA, 21 nt
Filed under: Physcomitrium patens
Lineage: Eukaryota; Viridiplantae; Streptophyta; Bryopsida; Funariales; Funariaceae
Description: ppt-miR1028b-5p
Source: miRBase by way of RNAcentral